GUGAUUCUGUGAACAGACUUUUGCAGAGUGUGAAGGUACCCCCAAGGGUCUGUGAUUCUGUGAACAGACUUUUGCAGAGUUGAAGAUACCCCCAAGAGCUUGGGUGCCUUCAAACACCUCAGGGAGCUGCAGCAUCUGAAGACCUUCUUCACCAUAAGAAGUCCAUGUGGUCCUUCAUCUCCGCAGCGCGGGGCACCGAGGCUCAUUGUCCCCAUAAUUGUGAAGACAAGAAAGUGCCUGAUGGUUUCAGAGGGUCUCUGCUCUGCAGUCAGCACCGCUGGAGAGGUGGAGGUUCUUGCAGAAGAACCGCUGUCCGGUGGGCACUCGAGUGCUGAAGAGAAGCAGACACCACCAUCACCCUUCAGAAAUGCCUCGCCUGGGUCCUUUCCUGCCCUUCCCAGUGGGAAGGCACCCGGAGGCUGGACCCACCAGUCAGGAGACUGGGAAAGGCAGCAUCCCCUUGACUUCGUGUGUGGCUGGAGGUUUUCCCACCUCAGCACCGGUCAUAGGUUUGAGCCAGGACUUCAGGAACUCAUCGAGGCUGCCUUCAUCCCAGGAGCUCAAGGUGCUCAGCAAAUGGCUGAACUUCAUUUGACCUACAAAACACGGACAUUUGUUUGA
This 621-nucleotide long non-coding RNA is filed under the name Calidris pugnax (ruff). RNAcentral's name for it is "lncRNA (ENSCPUG00000011199.1)". The record is from RNAcentral. Lineage: Eukaryota; Metazoa; Chordata; Aves; Charadriiformes; Scolopacidae.